RNAcentral lists this ribosomal RNA (449 nucleotides) under uncultured bacterium. RNAcentral's name for it is "partial 16S ribosomal RNA". It matches the Rfam family "Bacterial small subunit ribosomal RNA", at positions 29 to 523 of the family's 1533-position model. The record is from RNAcentral.
AACGAACGCUGGCGGCAUGCCUAACACAUGCAAGUCGAACGAGAUCUUCGGGUCUAGUGGCGCACGGGUGCGUAACGCGUGGGAAUCUGCCCUUUGGUUCGGAAUAACAGUUGGAAACGACUGCUAAUACCGGAUGAUGACGAAAGUCCAAAGAUUUAUCGCCAGAGGAUGAGCCCGCGUAGGAUUAGCUAGUUGGUGUGGUAAAGGCGCACCAAGGCGACGAUCCUUAGCUGGUCUGGGAGGAUGAUCAGCCACACUGGGACUGAGACACGGGGCAGACGCCUCCGGGAGGCGGCAGUGGGGAAGAAUGGACAAUUGGCGAAAGCCUGAUCCAGCAAUGCUGCGUGAGUGAUGAAGGCAGUAGGGUUGUAAAGCUCUUUUACCCGGGAAGAUAAUGACAGUACCGGGGGAAUAAGCUCCGGUUAACUCCGUGCCAGCCGCCGCCGUAA